ACGAACGCUGGCGGCAGGCUUAACACAUGCAAGUCGAACGCCCGAGCAAUCGGGAGUGGCAGACGGGUGAGUAACACGUGGGAACAUACCCUUCGGUUCGGAACAACGUUUGGAAACGAACGCUAAUACCGGAUACGGCUCGAGGGCGAAAGAUUCAUCGCCGAAGGAUUGGCCCGCGUUCGAUUAGCUAGAUGGCGGGGUAACGGCCCACCAUGGCGACGAUCGAUAGCUGGUCUGAGAGGAUGGCCAGCCACAUUGGGACUGAGACACGGCCCAAACUCCUACGGGAGGCAGCAGUGGGGAAUAUUGGACAAUGGGCGCAAGCCUGAUCCAGCCAUGCCGCGUGAGUGAUGACGGCCUUAGGGUUGUAAAGCUCUUUCGCACGCGACGAUAAUGACGGUAGCGUGAGAAGAAGCCCCGGCUAACUUCGU
This 431-nucleotide ribosomal RNA is filed under the name uncultured bacterium. RNAcentral's name for it is "bacterial SSU rRNA". It matches the Rfam family "Bacterial small subunit ribosomal RNA", at positions 29 to 506 of the family's 1533-position model. The record is from RNAcentral.